Molecule: ribosomal RNA, 636 nt
Filed under: Triticum aestivum (bread wheat)
Lineage: Eukaryota; Viridiplantae; Streptophyta; Magnoliopsida; Poales; Poaceae
Description: partial small subunit ribosomal RNA
Source: RNAcentral
AUGCUCUCGAAGACUCCGGAUUCGGUGGUUUGGCCUCAUACCGCCUCGGGCCGUUUCUCGGUUAAGUCCUUGUAUUCUAAACUUAUUGGUGGUGCCCCUACUAAUAGAUUUUCUAGCAUUUGGCGUUCUCGUGUGCCUUCGAAAAUCAAAAUCUUCCUCUGGCAGGCCUUUAGAGGCCGUCUUCCCGCGGCUGACCAAAUCCGUAAGAGGAAUGGACCAGGCUCGGAAUUUUGUGCUCUCUGUGGUGACUUGGAGGACACGAAUCAUAUUUUCUUCCAUUGUGUGCUUGCUAAACUAGUUUGGAGCCGUGUCAGAUCCUGGCUUCAGGUCACUUGGGAUCCCUCCUCCUUUAAUGAGCUCAGAGGCCUUGCCAAUUCGUUGGCUGGUGUGACAAAGAGGAUCUUCUGGGUUGGUCUGGGUGCCAUGUGCUGGUCGUUAUGGACCAUUAGGAACAAAUUUACGAUCGAACAUGCUUAUCCUACUAAACCAGCUGAUUGUUUAUUUAAAUCAUGUAUCUUCUUGCAGCAGUGGAGAUUAUUGACUAAGGUGGAGGACCGGGAUGCUCUUGAUCUGCUCAUAUCUAAAGUUCGGACCUCGGCGUCGUCUCUUUCUGGGCAGGAUCCUGAUGUCGUCUGA